GAGAAGAGUUACGAAAGUUGUUGGUAAGUUUGUUACGGGAAGUCCAGCUGACAGAGCGUCAUUGGUCGAUCAAAAGGAGACGAGGAGAAACAGAGUGUAAAAGAGUUGUUGCACUUUCUUUUCAAUUCAUUCAGAUUCAUUUGUAAAACUUUCUCAAGAAUUCUAAUAAACGUCUCGUAAAGAGUUUACUACUUAGAAGAUCGUUCUCUCAUCGGGAUCUUCUACAGGUAGACUCCAAUUCCUCAUUUUAUGAACGUCGGAUUGAUCUUACCGUGAAAACAUUGUUUUAACGCUAUCAUCGUGUUGCCAAAACGGGGCCUGGAGAUAAAGACAAUUCUUUGGAUCGAAAGUUUUAUGUCAAUUUUGACGCAUCAUCUUAUUGCAGGUAACUUUUCAAGUAAAAUUUUCAUUGAAUCAUGGUUUCCUUUUUUUUUACAACCAAGCUUCCACAUACUGGAGAAAAGAAGAAGAAGAGUUUUCAGAGAAUGAGGCUCUUUUGGCAGAGAAGAAUCACAAAAAUAAAGAAGAGACACGGGAGAGAGCAGAGUAUAAAGCUGCUACAUUGAGAAUGAAGCAAGAGAAGGUCUUGCGAUGAAACCUGAGAAAGGACCUGAUGAUACACAAGUAACUACUCCUUUCUUUGCCACUCAUCACUUAUAAUUCGCUGACUAAAGGUCACACUACUACUUAUUAUAUGCAAAGCACAUCAAUCUAUUUUACUUAUUUUGUUAUUAACAACUUCGUGAGUGAUAUAAAAAAUUUAGUACCUCUUUAAAAAUUAAGUUCUCUGUUUAAUCUUCACCAAUCAAACAUCUGGAAUUUGCGUUCUUUUGACUUGAGGAUAUGAGAAGAUUCUGAUUUAUUAUAUCAUCUUGAUGCCUUCUCUUAUAAGCUUCAGAAAAUAGAGUUGGGCUCUCAAACAUGAUGGAGGAAGUUUGAGGAACUGUACAUGUUUUCUUGCGGCAUCUUCACAAAGCUCUCAAGUGUAAUCAGAGGUUGCUUGGUCUCCUGACCAUAUCCAGCCAUUGGUCACCCUCUUUGAGAAGUUUCGAGGGUGCGACGUGAUUCUCAGCCAAGAGAUGAAAAGCGCAUGAGAAGUGUUGAACAUCAAUUUUAAUUUCCCAAGCGCAUUCAGAAAGGGUUUAGUGCAAAUAUAUGACUAGAUGUGUAAGUUAGAUGUCUGCUUUGCUUAUUUCACGUAGAGGUACUGAAUAUUGUUUAGUUAUGGAAAAUCAUCGAGUGGCACAAAGACGAAAAAAAGUUAGAUUUUGUUCGCUAUUAUUGUCCUUAGAAUCAUGUUCUCAGAUUUAAACUCACUGAUCAAGUA
This is a long non-coding RNA of Brassica rapa (field mustard), 1327 nucleotides long. RefSeq lists it as uncharacterized. NCBI's taxonomy places the organism in Eukaryota, Viridiplantae, Streptophyta, Magnoliopsida, Brassicales, Brassicaceae. The record is from RefSeq and is a predicted model, not a curated record.